RNAcentral lists this ribosomal RNA (1347 nucleotides) under Salmonella enterica. RNAcentral's name for it is "partial 23S ribosomal RNA". It matches the Rfam family "Bacterial large subunit ribosomal RNA", at positions 628 to 1874 of the family's 2925-position model. Lineage: Bacteria; Pseudomonadati; Pseudomonadota; Gammaproteobacteria; Enterobacterales; Enterobacteriaceae. The record is from RNAcentral.
UUAUAUUCUGUAGCAAGGUUAACCGUAUAGGGGAGCCGGAGGGAAACCGAGUCUUAACCGGGCGUUAAGUUGCAGGGUAUAGACCCGAAACCCGGUGAUCUAGCCAUGGGCAGGUUGAAGGUUGGGUAACACUAACUGGAGGACCGAACCGACUAAUGUUGAAAAAUUAGCGGAUGACCUGUGGCUGGGGGUGAAAGGCCAAUCAAACCGGGAGAUAGCUGGUUCUCCCCGAAAGCUAUUUAGGUAGCGCCUCGUGAAUUCAUCUCCGGGGGUAGAGCACUGUUUCGGCUAGGGGGCCAUCCCGGCUUACCAACCCGAUGCAAACUGCGAAUACCGGAGAAUGUUAUCACGGGAGACACACGGCGGGUGCUAACGUCCGUCGUGAAGAGGGAAACAACCCAGACCGCCAGCUAAGGUCCCAAAGUCAUGGUUAAGUGGGAAACGAUGUGGGAAGGCCCAGACAGCCAGGAUGUUGGCUUAGAAGCAGCCAUCAUUUAAAGAAAGCGUAAUAGCUCACUGGUCGAGUCGGCCUGCGCGGAAGAUGUAACGGGGCUAAACCAUGCACCGAAGCUGCGGCAGCGAACGUAUCACCCAAGACAACUUUACGGAGUUGACGAUUGACGGAGCGAAGCGACGUCAAAGCGUUCAUUAAAGUCGAGUUGGCUUAGGGAUACGUUCGUUGGGUAGGGGAGCGUUCUGUAAGCCUGUGAAGGUGUGUCGUGAGGCAUGCUGGAGGUAUCAGAAGUGCGAAUGCUGACAUAAGUAACGAUAAAGCGGGUGAAAAGCCCGCUCGCCGGAAGACCAAGGGUUCCUGUCCAACGUUAAUCGGGGCAGGGUGAGUCGACCCCUAAGGCGAGGCCGAAAGGCGUAGUCGAUGGGAAACGGGUUAAUAUUCCCGUACUUGGUGUUACUGCGAAGGGGGGACGGAGAAGGCUAUGUUGGCCGGGCGACGGUUGUCCCGGUUUAAGCGUGUAGGUGUGUGUUCCAGGUAAAUCCGGUUCACUUUAACACUGAGGCGUGACGACGAGGCACUACGGUGCUGAAGCAACAAAUGCCCUGCUUCCAGGAAAAGCCUCUAAGCAUCAGGUAACAUCAAAUCGUACCCCAAACCGACACAGGUGGUCAGGUAGAGAAUACCAAGGCGCUUGAGAGAACUCGGGUGAAGGAACUAGGCAAAAUGGUGCCGUAACUUCGGGAGAAGGCACGCUGACACGUAGGUGAAGUGAUUUACUCAUGGAGCUGAAGUCAGUCGAAGAUACCAGCUGGCUGCAACUGUUUAUUAAAAACACAGCACUGUGCAAACACGAAAGUGGACGUAUACGGUGUGACGCCUGCCCGGUGCCGGAA